CCGUCAAUUCAUUUGAGUUUCAACCUUGCGGCCGUACUCCCCAGGCGGAGAACUUAUCGCGUUAGCUACGACACCGAUUUGCUAAGCAAACCAACGUCAAGUUCUCAUCGUUUACGGCGUGGACUACCAGGGUAUCUAAUCCUGUUUGCUACCCACGCUUUCGUGCCUCAGCGUCAAAACAGGCCCAGGAGGCUGCCUUCGCCAUCGGUGUUCUUCCAGAUAUCUACGCAUUUCACCGCUACACCUGGAGUUCCACCUCCCUCUACCGUUUUCUAGUCUGACAGUAUCGACCGCAAUUCCUAGGUUGAGCCCAGGGCUUUCACAAUCGACUUAUCAAACCGCCUACGCACGCUUUACGCCCAGUAAAUCCGAUUAACGCUAGCACCCUCUGUAUUACCGCGGCUGCUGGCACAGAGUUAGCCGGUGCUUAUUCUGUCGGUACCGUCAAGACUUCACGUAUUAAGUAAAGUUUUUUCUUCCCAACUUAAAGUGCUUUACAACCCGAAGGCCUUCUUCACACACGCGGUAUUGCUGGAUCAGGCUUUCGCCCAUUGUCCAAUAUUCCCCACUGCUGCCUCCCGUAGGAGUCCGGACCGUGUCUCAGUUCCGGUGUGACUGAUCAUCCUCUCAGACCAGUUACGGAUCGUAGCCUUGGUGAGCCAUUACCUCACCAACUAGCUAGUCCGACGUAGGUUCCUCCAAAAGCGAGAGGCCUUGCGGUCCCCCUCUUUGCUCUUGCGAGAUCAUGCGGUAUUAAUCCGGGUUUCCCCGGGUUAUCCCCCACUUAAGGGCAGAUCCCUACGUAUUCCUCACCCGUCCGCCACUAGGUAUUGCUACCUCGUUCGACUUGCAUGUGUUAGGCCUG
This 865-nucleotide ribosomal RNA is filed under the name uncultured bacterium. RNAcentral describes it as "partial 16S ribosomal RNA". The record is from RNAcentral.